GGAGCGACAUGCGAUGCGUUUCGUUUUCAUCCCGACCUAACACAAAAUGCAUAAACACACUGUCAGCAGGCAGAAGCAGGCAUCUUUUGACAGAGACAUGCCUGAUGUUAGGGUGAGCGGAUGGUGUGCGCGCAAUCUGCAGAUACAGUGUACGAGUGUGAGUGUGUCACAGACGUUUUAUUAUUAUAAUGCUACGGCGAUGAAUAUGUCUUUAU
Caenorhabditis elegans is the source of this 215-nucleotide non-coding RNA. Lineage: Eukaryota; Metazoa; Nematoda; Chromadorea; Rhabditida; Rhabditidae. The record is from Ensembl.